AUGUUCUCCCUCGCUGACACCACCUCAUGCUUUGGCCACUCCUCACCUGGGCCUCACACCUUUGCUCUCCACAGUGCCCCCAGCACUCGCACAGCAGGUCUUCAGUAUUUGCUGACUGACUCAAUGACUGACAGAUUCCAGGAGCAAAGUGGGAAGGUGGGAUGGAGGAUGCGACUGGGACACAAACCUCCUCAUGGUUUCCUUCCAGGUAACACCAAAGCAAUGGAUUACUGUCUCCCUAGCACCUGCGACAACGUCUGCCACAGACACAACCAACGUUGGGGUCAACCCAGGACUCACAGCCUGAGACGUCCGGCAGCCCAAUUCUCUUGCAUUCUGGAGGUCCCAGGUCUUGGAACCCUAUCAAGGCAGACGUGAUCCACCAGGUGCUAGAGGAUCUGGGGUCCUUUUCCAAGGGACAUUCUGCACAUUGUCUGGGUUCCUCUUGCUCUUUAUAAACACUUUUGGCCAAAGAACAGGGCGAGCUCAAAGCUGGUUUCCCAGGGCCGUCACUAGCACACUUAAUCCAAGGUAUUGCCCUACAUCUCGACCCCUGACCCCAGCUACUGGACGUGAUAGUCCACGCAGGCCUUUCUGAAGAGGGGCUGUUUGUGUUGAGAUUUGAAGGAAUGAGUCAAGUGAUGAUGGAGAGAACAUUCCAGAGGAGAAUGGGAGUGAACUUGGUGAGUCUGAGGAACAGAAAGGCUAGUGCCGUGAGUGUGGAAAAAGAAGGUUUGCAUGGAAAAGCUUGAGCCACAACUCUGGUCCCCAAGAAGGGGUCUAAAAGGCUGUACUCCUGGUCGAUCACCGCCUCCAGCUGUAACGUGAUGCUUUUCUGGUCUCCAAGGCAGCAGGGAUGGGGAAGGAAGAGAAUGGGUGUCUGCCAUUGUGGCUGGGGGGUUCUGGCAGCAGGGGGCCAGGCCAUGGGGCCCUGGUGCUUGACUGCAGUUUGGUGGGUUCACUACUCUUAAAAAUGGCAGGAUGGAGCCAUGAGUCCUUAGAGCUAAGUCCCAUGUGAACAGUCCUGUGGAGGCACCCUAGCUUAGACAGCCACCUCCAUCCCCUUCUGAGAGCCCUGCUAAGGGGAAAGUGCUGCAGCCCAGGGCUGAAGGGACAUGGGGUGGGUGGGGAGGACCCAAAGGGCUCCAAGCCACCUCAGCAGGUGGCUUUGGAAGGGGCUAAAAGCCCUGCAUCAGGAAGCUCAAAUCAAGUCCCCAGCAAGCUCUGCACUUCUCUGCAGCCCUGCCCACCCCAGUCCUCCUCCUCCAAACCGAAAUAUGCAGGCCAAACAAUGGGAAAUGGCUCCGCUCCAAAGAUUCAACUCACAAGGCACGUGUUGCCUCCUGUUUGCCUGCUGGUAUGUGAAGGAAGCUGUUUC
Molecule: long non-coding RNA, 1378 nt
Filed under: Sus scrofa (pig)
Lineage: Eukaryota; Metazoa; Chordata; Mammalia; Artiodactyla; Suidae
Description: lncRNA (ENSSSCG00015004350.1)
Source: RNAcentral